This 1356-nucleotide ribosomal RNA is filed under the name uncultured bacterium. Its description in RNAcentral is "bacterial SSU rRNA". It matches the Rfam family "Bacterial small subunit ribosomal RNA", at positions 28 to 1380 of the family's 1533-position model. The record is from RNAcentral.
GAUGAACGCUAGCGGCAGGCUUAACACAUGCAAGUCGAGGGGCAGCGGGGAGUAGCAAUACUCCGCCGGCGACCGGCGCACGGGUGCGUAACGCGUAUGCAACCUACCUUUAACAGGGGCAUAACACUGAGAAAUUGGUACUAAUUCCCCAUAACAUUCGAGAAGGCAUCUUCUUGGGUUAAAAACUCCGGUGGUUAAAGAUGGGCAUGCGUUGUAUUAGCUAGUUGGUGAGGUAACGGCUCACCAAGGCAACGAUACAUAGGGGGACUGAGAGGUUAACCCCCCACAUUGGUACUGAGACACGGACCAAACUCCUACGGGAGGCAGCAGUGAGGAAUAUUGGUCAAUGGACGCAAGUCUGAACCAGCCAUGCCGCGUGCAGGAAGACGGCUCUAUGAGUUGUAAACUGCUUUUGUACUAGGGUAAACGCUUCUACGUGUAGGAGCCUGAAAGUAUAGUACGAAUAAGGAUCGGCUAACUCCGUGCCAGCAGCCGCGGUAAUACGGAGGAUCCAAGCGUUAUCCGGAUUUAUUGGGUUUAAAGGGUGCGUAGGCGGUUUGAUAAGUUAGAGGUGAAAUACCGGGGCUCAACUCCGGAACUGCCUCUAAUACUGUUGAACUAGAGAGUAGUUGCGGUAGGCGGAAUGUAUGGUGUAGCGGUGAAAUGCUUAGAGAUCAUACAGAACACCGAUUGCGAAGGCAGCUUACCAAACUAUAUCUGACGUUGAGGCACGAAAGCGUGGGGAGCAAACAGGAUUAGAUACCCUGGUAGUCCACGCAGUAAACGAUGAUAACUCGUUGUCGGCGAUACACAGUCGGUGACUAAGCGAAAGCGAUAAGUUAUCCACCUGGGGAGUACGUUCGCAAGAAUGAAACUCAAAGGAAUUGACGGGGGCCCGCACAAGCGGAGGAACAUGUGGUUUAAUUCGAUGAUACGCGAGGAACCUUACCCGGGCUUGAAAGUUAGUGACGAUUCUGGAAACAGGAUUUCCCUUCGGGGCACGAAACUAGGUGCUGCAUGGUUGUCGUCAGCUCGUGCCGUGAGGUGUCGGGUUAAGUCCCAUAACGAGCGCAACCCCUACCGUUAGUUGCCAUCAGGUCAAGCUGGGCACUCUGGCGGGACUGCCGGUGUAAGCCGAGAGGAAGGUGGGGAUGACGUCAAAUCAGCACGGCCCUUACGUCCGGGGCUACACACGUGUUACAAUGGUAGGUACAGAGGGCCGCUACCCCGUGAGGGGAUGCCAAUCUCGAAAGCCUAUCUCGAGUUUCGAAUCGGAGGCUGAAACCCGCCUCCGUGAAAGUUUGGUAUUCGCUGAGAUCGCGCCCGGCCGUGGCGCGGUAAGACGUUUCCCGGGCC